RNAcentral lists this transfer RNA (64 nucleotides) under Scraptia sp. SCR02. RNAcentral's name for it is "tRNA-His". Lineage: Eukaryota; Metazoa; Arthropoda; Insecta; Coleoptera; Scraptiidae. The record is from RNAcentral.
AUUUAAAUAGUUUAAAAAAAAUUUUGAUUUGUGGAAUCAAAGAUAUAUAGAUAUAUUUUAAAUA